RNAcentral lists this ribosomal RNA (443 nucleotides) under uncultured bacterium. Its description in RNAcentral is "bacterial SSU rRNA". It matches the Rfam family "Bacterial small subunit ribosomal RNA", at positions 954 to 1390 of the family's 1533-position model. The record is from RNAcentral.
GCUUAACGCGAAGAACCUUACCUGGGCUAGAAAGCGUAAGAACCUUGGUGAAAACUGAGGGUGCCCUUCGGGGAACUUACGAUUUAGGUGCUGCAUGGCUGUCGUCAGCUCGUGUCGUGAGAUGUUGGGUUAAGUCCCGCAACGAGCGCAACCCUUGUUGUUAGUUGCCAGCAUUAAGUUGGGCACUCUAACAAGACUGCCGACCUUUAAGUCGGAGGAAGGUGGGGAUGACGUCAAGUCCUCAUGGCCCUUACGUCCAGGGCUACACACGUGCUACAAUGACCGGUACAAAGGGUUGCCAAACCGCGAGGUGGAGCCAAUACCCAAAAAGCCGGCCUCAGUACGGAUAAGAGUCUGCAACUCGACUUCUUUGAAGGCGGAAUCGCUAGUAACUCCCUGAUCAGCAUAGCAGGGGUGAAUACGUUCCCGGGUCUUGUACACAC